RNAcentral lists this ribosomal RNA (468 nucleotides) under uncultured bacterium. Its description in RNAcentral is "partial 16S ribosomal RNA". The stretch from base 48 to 468 matches the Rfam family "Bacterial small subunit ribosomal RNA", at positions 38 to 507 of the family's 1533-position model. The record is from RNAcentral.
GGGGGGGGGGGGGGGGGGGGGUGGGGGGGGGGGGGGGGGCGGGCGGGGGCGGCGGGGGGGGGGGGCGCGGGGGGCGGACGGGUGCGUACCGCGGGCGUAACCUGCGCUGGCCUGUGGGCUCACUUCCGGAACCUGGGGCUAAUACCGGCUCGGAGCGCCUGCUGCAUGGUGGGGGUUGGAACGUUUCGGCGGUUGGGGAUGGACUCGCGGCUUAUCAGCUUGUGGGUGGGGUAGUGGCUUACCAAGGCUUUCACGGGUAGCCGGCCUGAGAGGGUGACCGGCCACAUUGGGACUGAGAUGCGGCCCAGACUCCUACGGGAGGCAGAAGUGGGGAAUAUUGCACAAUGGGCGGAAGCCUGAUGCAGCAACGCCGCGUGCGGGAUGACGGCCUUCGGGUUGUAAACCGCUUUCGCCUGUGACGAAGCGUGAGUGACGGUAAUGGGUAAAGAAGCACCGGCUAGCUACGUG